ACCCCUACGGGAGGCAGCAGUAAGGAAUAUUGGACAAUGGGCGCAAGCCUGAUCCAGCCAUCCCGCGUGCAGGAUGACGGCCCUACGGGUUGUAAACUGCUUUUAUACAGGAAGAAACGCCUUCAUUUAUGAGGGCCUGACGGUACUGUAAGAAUAAGCACCGGCUAACUCCGUGCCAGCAGCCGCGGUAA
Molecule: ribosomal RNA, 191 nt
Filed under: uncultured Saprospirales bacterium
Lineage: Bacteria; Pseudomonadati; Bacteroidota; Saprospiria; Saprospirales
Description: partial 16S ribosomal RNA
Rfam family: Bacterial small subunit ribosomal RNA
Source: RNAcentral